Molecule: ribosomal RNA, 391 nt
Filed under: Pseudocalanus sp.
Lineage: Eukaryota; Metazoa; Arthropoda; Copepoda; Calanoida; Clausocalanidae
Description: partial small subunit ribosomal RNA
Rfam family: Eukaryotic small subunit ribosomal RNA
Source: RNAcentral
AUUCCAGCUCCAAUAGCGUAUAUUAAAGUUGUUGUGGUUAAAAAGCUCGUAGUUGGAUCUCGGCGGUCUGAGGGCGGUUCGCUUCAGAGCGCUACUGCCCUAUAGACCGUAGUUUUGCCAGAGGUCUCAGGGUGCUCUUAACCGAGUGUCUUGCGAUGCUGGCAGGUUUACUUUGAAAAAAUUAGAGUGCUCAAAGCAGGCUUUUACGCCUGAAUAUUCGUGCAUGGAAUAAUAGAAUAGGAAGUCGUUCCUAUUUUGUUGGUUUUCGGAAAUCGACUUAAUGAUUAAUAGGGACAGUCGGGGGCAUUUGUAUUCAAACGACAGAGGUGAAAUUCUUGGAUUUAUGGAAGACGAACUACUGCGAAAGUAUUUACCAAGGAUGUUUUCAUCA